AGAGUUUGAUCAUGGCUCAGGAUGAACGCUAGCGGCAGGCCUAAUACAUGCAAGACGAGCGGUAAUUUUAGUAGCAAUACUGAGACUAGAGCGUCGUAAGGGUGCGUAACACGUAUGCAAUCUGCCCGGAACUGGGGUAUAGCUCGGGGAAACCCGGAUUAACCCCCCAUAAUAUCGAGAUGUGGCAUCAUGUUUCGAUUAAAUCUGAGGAGGUUCUGGAUGAGCAUGCGGAUGAUUAGCUAGUUGGCGGUGUAACGGACCACCAAGGCGAUGAUCAAUAGGGGAACUGAGAGGUUGAUCCCCCACACUGGCACUGAGAUACGGGCCAGACUCCUACGGGAGGCAGCAGUAGGGAAUAUUGGACAAUGGGUGCAAGCCUGAUCCAGCCAUGCCGCGUGCAGGAAGAAGGCUUUCUGAGUUGUAAACUGCUUUUGCCAGGGGAUAAAAUACGGAUGCGUCCGGAAUUGAAGGUACCUGGUGAAUAAGCCACGGCUAACUACGUGCCAGCAGCCGCGGUAAUACGUAGGUGGCAAGCGUUGUCCGGAUUUAUUGGGUUUAAAGGGUGCGUAGGCGGUCAAUUAAGUCAGUGGUGAAAUACUUCAGCUCAACUGGAGAGGUGCCAUUGAUACUGGUUGACUUGAGUACUGAUGAGGUAGGCGGAAUGGACGGUGUAGCGGUGAAAUGCUUAGAUAUCGUCCAGAACACCGAUAGCGAAGGCAGCUUACUAAGGAGUAACUGACGCUGAGGCACGAAAGUGUGGGGAUCAAACAGGAUUAGAUACCCUAGUAGUCC
Molecule: ribosomal RNA, 792 nt
Filed under: uncultured bacterium
Lineage: Bacteria
Description: bacterial SSU rRNA
Rfam family: Bacterial small subunit ribosomal RNA
Source: RNAcentral